AUCUUCUGGCAUCUAAGAAACCCUAGCAGACACUCCAAACCCUAAUUUACAAAACUAUUUUCCAUAUUUCUCAAAAACCCAAACUCCAAAUAUCAUAAAACUUAUGCACAAAGUUUACUAACAUGAAAUUACACAUUUCUUGAAAUUUUGAGCCAAAAUCUCACAAAAUUGCUCAAGAUAUAGCUCAAGGGACAAACAGUAGUAAAUCGGUUUACUUACUAUCCUUAGAUUGCAUGUGCUGACUUCAAAAUCCAAUAACUCCUUCACUCCAACUUGGAAUCCAAUAAGCAGUAUGCAAAAAGUAUAGCCGCAAAAGUUUUCUCUCUAGUC
This 330-nucleotide long non-coding RNA is filed under the name Physcomitrium patens. RNAcentral describes it as "long non-coding RNA (PPAT_LNC003193)". Lineage: Eukaryota; Viridiplantae; Streptophyta; Bryopsida; Funariales; Funariaceae. The record is from RNAcentral.